CUGCAUAUAGAUAAGUCUGAUACAUACUAAUUUACAUGAGCGGAAUCCAUAUCCGCUAGAAAGCUUCAGAAAGAGCCAAAGCCGCCGAACAAUGGGGUCAAACAUUAAUGUCAUGCCAUUUUAGGUGCUUUUCCCUAAAAUCUGCACUUGAAAUUGAAAUAUUCACUAGUGCUUGUUCUUUCCCCCUUCCUCCUGGCUUCGGUUAGUAUGUCAAAGCAGCCACUAUUAAUAUUGACGUCUCGGUAACCACCCGAUGAUCCGAUCUCGAUCCGCCCAAGUCCUUUUUCCUGUUGUCAACAUCUGUUUACGGUAUUGUGUCGGUGUGACCAGAGCGAGAGAGAGAGAGAGAGUUGUGUGUGCACGGACCACCUUAUCGCCAUCGUCAUCACACGCUGCCGUAGCUUUCACCCGGUCAAUUGAAUGCUCAUCCCGUUCAUGCAUCGUCCUCCUUCCAAACCCUCUGAACCAUUUUGUCACAUGCGUUGGCUGCAUGGCCUUGACCCAACCAACAUCCCCAUCCGGCCCGAGUUUGAUCCGCCAACUUCCUCGAAGCACCAUCUACGUCGCUUGCAUCGAGCCCCAACAUCAUGAUUUUUGAUCCGCCAACCUCCUCGAAGCACCAUCUACGUCGCUUGCAUCGAUCCCCAACGUUAUGACUUUUGAUCCGCCAACGAACAUGAUGCAGCCCUGACGAAGCUAUGCCUCAAGCCCCACACUCUCGAGCACAGGCGUACAGACACGUCAUUCCACUGUUUCAUAGGAACAAAAAAUGUUAGUCCAAAUGCUCCAGCAUCUAGCAUGCCUAACUUACAGCAAUGCUCUGAUUAAUUCACAUCUUCAUUACUAUUCCUUAAAAAAAAAAAACCACGCACGCGCGCGCGCGCCACACACACACACACACACUCACAAAGGAGGACUACCAAAAAAUAUAAAAGGAGAAUAGCAAACUUACCUGCCUCAAAAAUAACUCUGGUGGACAAAUUUAUAACAAGCAUAAAUUGU
This 1002-nucleotide long non-coding RNA is filed under the name Elaeis guineensis (African oil palm). RNAcentral describes it as "long non-coding RNA (EGUI_LNC015818)". Lineage: Eukaryota; Viridiplantae; Streptophyta; Magnoliopsida; Arecales; Arecaceae. The record is from RNAcentral.